This is a long non-coding RNA of Triticum aestivum (bread wheat), 2030 nucleotides long. RefSeq lists it as uncharacterized. The transcript has 2 exons. The record is from RefSeq and is a predicted model, not a curated record. Lineage: Eukaryota; Viridiplantae; Streptophyta; Magnoliopsida; Poales; Poaceae.
UGCUUCAGGUCCUUCUUCUUCAAACGACUGAUCUCCGUAUAGCUUUCCUGUUCCCCUAUCGCUCGUCGACGGUGGCGGCUGCACAGAUCUGGUGGACGACGACUACUCCCUGGGCAGUUGCUCCCUGCCUCCUCCCACUCCCACUCCGGCUUCCAGGUCUCUUGGCUCCAUCUACCGCGCAUCCCGACACGCGCUGCACAUCCUCGUCAGGGACCGGGCCGCCGCCGCCACGGUCUCCUCCACCCCGAUGACCUCGGGCUCCCCACCCGCUCAGCUGCCCAUUUGUACCUUUCCGGAGCCAAGCUGGUAGUGGUCGAGUGGGCGGUGGUGCCUCCACGGUCGCCUCCUCCCCGGUACUCCUAGAUCCAGCAGUAUCUCACCGUAGGCAAGCUGGUGGUGCUCGAUCUGCUCGCCUUCUUUGCCUCGCAGGCUCAGCAUCAAGUACGAGCGGACGCAUCGCCGGACGAAGCCACGGGCAACGGGACGAGGCAUCGGCGACACUGACUGCGGGAUUGACACUGUCUCCGCAGGUCCCUGAUGUGGGUGCACCGCACUGCUUGGCGGUGCAUGGCCGGAGCUCCCGCCGACCAUCAGGUUGAGGCGGCGAGGAGCAGUGGCAUGUAGACUGAAUCAGGCGGAGAGCGCAGGCACUCGAAGACGCGGCUCCUGAAUGAUGGCUUGACCACGGCGGUCGACAAUCUGAAAAUAUCACUGGUAAAAUACUGGUUUCUUCUAUAGGAUAAUAAAAUACACCGGUAAACUAUUUACAGGCGUAUACAAGGCCUCCAAUCGGGGUCUUAAGGAGGUAAAGAAUUCUACUUGCUGUUGAACCCUCGCUGAUUCUCCACAGAAAAACUUGUAAGGAUCUGAACUUGUUGAGUGAAAUUAUGGUUGAAGCAAGAUUUUUUUUAGAAUCUCUAGUCUCUAAAUACAAGAGCAGAAAAUGGUUCUCUUCCAUGUAUUUGACUCAUGUUUUUUGCUUUGGAUCUGUGUGCGGACUUGCCUUUGUGCCGUCGUAAUAUAUUUAUUUGUUUGUUGCUGUUAGAGUUUCAAUUUUCUUUUUUUAGAACCAAAAUUCGUGGGCAGCAAUAAGAAAGUGCUGGCAUUGCAAUGUCAUAUCGGUGCUCCAGAGAAGUGUUCCUUUUAAGUUUUAACCAUGCAUUUUUAAAAGUAAUACUUGGUGACCAAUGUAAUCAAUCAGAAUAACAACUUCAGUGUAAUGAAGGAUAAAGCAUUUUUACUUUCAGCUCCUCCCCGUGCUUGUGAUGGAUUGGUCCAUUAUCUGUUAAUCUCUGCAUAACAAAAUGAAGGACUGGAUGCUAAGCUUAACAUUACCAUCUCUCUAGUUAGACAAUCACAGUGGUAAAAAUAAUUUGGGGAAUAACAAUAUUUUUUGUGCUAGCAGCGAGCAGAUAUGUUCCUACUAGUACAAUGUAUUCUUGAUGCAUAUUCAUUUGAUUAGCUCAUGAGCAAAUACUUUAGGUGCCCUUGCACGUCUUGUACUCAAACUGAAUGAUUUGUUUGGUGUCAUCUUUUCCAGAACAUGAAGACUGAAUAGCAAGAAGCACUAUAACUAGAGGCAAAAAGGGAAUAUUUUCAAGAUAACAAACCCGAUGCAAGUUUUGGUAGCAAUGUUUAUUCAGUGGGCAUCAUUUCAGUCCUUCAUUCUCGGGCUCGCUGUUCAUGUACUACAAAAUGACCAUGUCAUGUUUUAUACCACUUGAUGUGUGUGUGUGUGUGUGUGUGUGUGUGUGUGUGUCUUGUCUACCCGAAUUAAGAUACAAGACAUGCACUCAAAUAUUUCUGCCCAGGAUAAUCCACUUAGACAUGUAUUCAGAAAUUUGUGCUUGACAUGUACUCUCAUAUUUGUGUUUGGGGUGGUCCAGCAUGGGAUGAACUAGGAACAGAUUGGCUUAACCAUAUUAAGUUUUCUUGCAUAAUCGGUGAUCUAGUACAAGCAACUAUUGUACAAUUUGGGCAUCGACGAUGUGAACAUUUGAAAUUGGGAUAAAAUGAUUGGAUAAGAGAAA